Molecule: ribosomal RNA, 769 nt
Filed under: actinobacterium HA-est-Is51-14
Lineage: Bacteria; Bacillati; Actinomycetota; Actinomycetes
Description: bacterial SSU rRNA
Rfam family: Bacterial small subunit ribosomal RNA
Source: RNAcentral
GGGGUACUCGAGUGGCGAACGGGUGAGUAACACGUGGGUGAUCUGCCCUGCACUUUGGGAUAAGCCUGGGAAACUGGGUCUAAUACCGAAUACACCUCGCUGGCCGCAUGGUCUGGUGGGGGAAAGCUUUUGCGGUGUGGGAUGGGCCCGCGGCCUAUCAGCUUGUUGGUGGGGUGAUGGCCUACCAAGGCGACGACGGGUAGCCGGCCUGAGAGGGUGACCGGCCACACUGGGACUGAGAUACGGCCCAGACUCCUACGGGAGGCAGCAGUGGGGAAUAUUGCACAAUGGGCGCAAGCCUGAUGCAGCGACGCCGCGUGGGGGAUGACGGCCUUCGGGUUGUAAACCCCUUUCAGCACAGACGAAGCGCAAGUGACGGUAUGUGCAGAAGAAGGACCGGCCAACUACGUGCCAGCAGCCGCGGUAAUACGUAGGGUCCGAGCGUUGUCCGGAAUUACUGGGCGUAAAGAGCUCGUAGGUGGUUUGUCGCGUUGUUCGUGAAAACUCACAGCUCAACUGUGGGCGUGCGGGCGAUACGGGCAGACUGGAGUACUGCAGGGGAGACUGGAAUUCCUGGUGUAGCGGUGGAAUGCGCAGAUAUCAGGAGGAACACCGGUGGCGAAGGCGGGUCUCUGGGCAGUAACUGACGCUGAGGAGCGAAAGCGUGGGGAGCGAACAGGAUUAGAUACCCUGGUAGUCCACGCCGUAAACGGUGGGUACUAGGUGUGGGUUUCCUUCCUUGGGAUCCGUGCCGUAGCUAACGCAUUAA